This is a non-coding RNA of Rattus norvegicus (Norway rat), 3020 nucleotides long. The record is from RefSeq and is a predicted model, not a curated record. Lineage: Eukaryota; Metazoa; Chordata; Mammalia; Rodentia; Muridae.
AGCCUGCGCCCAGCUACUGACCUUGCCUGACAGGAUUAAGAGGCAGUUUGUGCCGCAGUCUCUGAAGCCUUUCUGGCUGGGAUGACAAAGUGCCGCCAGCGGAGUUCACAGGGCUUCGUUUUCGUUGAAACGUUUCCUUUCAGAAUAAGUUCCAAGGAGCCUUUGUCUCUCAGAUGGCCAAGGGUAAUCACUUGUGGGACACACCCACCGCAGACGUGGUUCUCUGCACCUUGCUUGGCAGUUGGCAGACAGACCUGCAGACAGGGAUGAGACAGGGCCUGGCAGAGCGCUGGCCCCAUUCAGAAGCAGUGGACCCAGGAUACCUUUCCAUCCUGAAGGAGCCUGGGUUCGAGGUCUGAGAUGAAACAGGUCUUGUGGGCAGUUUGCCCGAUUCCCAAUUUCCACAGAAGCACAACGGUUCAUUUUUCUUUUCUUUUUGGGCUUUGCCUACAGAUUCUCUGUCAAGGAGAAGAAGGUCUGUGUUUGCUUAGGCACAGAUACUCGUGUACUCCAAGCUGACUGGUGACCCCUGCUGUCCCUCCGUGAGCUCUCCUGCUGACCAUUCGCUCACCUACUCCUCUUCUCAUAGGUGCCACCAUAAGGAAUGAGGACAGCCUGGCUCACCCAGACCAGGGCCAGAUAACUCAAGAUACCUCACGCCAACUCUGGGACAAUCGUGGAAGCCAUCAUCUUCAUCCAUGAAGCACGUCUCCAACUGGAGACAGCCAGAGCCACAAAAUCUGAUAGCAGCAUAUAGCCUGAGCUGGAGAGGAUGAUCUGUAGAGUGUGUUUGAACUCAGAGACAUGGUGACUUCACUCUAAAUGCAAGAGCUGGCAGACUCUAGCCAGAGCCAACCUGCAAAGCUGGUGUUCCUGAAAACUAAAGAGGGAAAAAGGACACUCAGAGAGAGUGGCUAGGCUCCACAGGAAGUGCAUGUAUGUGUGCAUAUGUGUGCUUGUGCAUGAGUGUGUGUGUGUGUGUACCUGUGCAUGAAUGUGAGUGUGUGUGUGUGUGUGUGUGUGUGUGCAUAUACAUGUGUUUAUACUUAUCCCUCCUCUCUGCAUGCAGGGGAGGAAGGAGGUACCCACAGUGUAGGCCGCUGAGACCCACAGAGUCCUGCUAUGAGGGACUACACAGAGCCCUACCUGGUACCCAGAGGUGGUAGCCAAACUUUCACUGGUGUUCUCUUGUGCUUUUAAAUAUUUGCCAUCUGUCAGGGAGUGGACAGAGCAGCAUUCCUAGUGAGGGUUAAAAAGGGGACCGUUCCCAUCACUGGGAGAGGGAAUGGGUAGAUAGAUGAACUGGGUUCUGGAUCCUGAUUGCCUCUUCGUACCAGAAAGGAGCAAAGCACAGUGCAGGUGAGUAACUUUAAUUCUUUCAAACCUUAUUUUUAAUGAUGGUUCUUAAAUGCCUUAACCUCUCUUGUAGCCCACCACCCACCAGAGGGAGUGGAAAAGAAAGGACAUGGGGUGGUGGUGGGCAGGAAGUGGACCUGUUUAGAAAGGUUCUUUGGAACAACUCCUGUUCUGUGUUGUCUGCAAAUUGGCAGUUAAGUUCACUAAACAGUCGUAGCAACUCGACCCACUUGUAAACAUUUCGUGGAUACACCACCAGUCAAGUUCAGUAGAGCUGGCUUAGCAAUCGUGGUGACACGACCUAGCAGAGACAGCCAGGCCUCAGCCUCAGCUCCAGUCAAUGGGAGGGACCAACAGGACACCAGGAGAAGUUCUGAGCUGUGCCUCUCUCAGGGAAGCAAAGCUUAGGGAAGACCGAGACCCACAAGCGCUGCACAGCUAGCUAUACCAGCAAGCUAAGCUCUGUCUUAGUCACUCUGUGGAGUCCUAUUUAUACCCUCCAAACAUCACGUGUCCUCCAUGGGCCUUGUCUUAGCACGUGCAUCCAAUCAGCCUGAGUCCAUGGAGUCACGACAAAUGCUGCUCAAACUAUGCAUUCAUUGUAAGGCGGACCAAUACAUUAGCGAAGAUUCCUUCAUUACAUGUCCUUUCUCGUGCUUCCUUUAGCAUAACAUCCUUUCUCCUGUGUCUUCCUCUAUGCCUGAACUGGUGGAAACAGGAUUUGUUUUUUUUUUUUUUUUUUUUUCUCCAGCCCUGGCGUUUUUUUGUUUUUUUGUUUUUGUUUUCUUUUUUUUUCGGAGCUGGGGACCGAACCCAGGGCCUUGCGCUUGCUAGGCAAGCGCUCUACCACUGAGCUAAAUCCCCAACCCUAGGAUUUGGUUUUGAGACAGGUUCUCUCUAUGCAACUCUGGCUGUCCAUGUAGACCAGGCUGGCCUUGAAUUCACAGAGAUCCACCCACCUCCAGAGAGCGCUGGGCAUAAAGGUGUGCAUCACCACCCUCUGCAUUUCAAUUCCUGAAGUACAGAGCAGAAGAGAGAAAGAUAAACCGACGGUUAGACAUGUAGUGAUGCUUCAGACGCCACAGAUGAAAAUGCCUAGCAAGCAGCCGGAGGGAAAAGCCAGCCGGGAGCUGCUGCCACAGAGCUGGAUGCAGACGGCAGAAGAGCAUCGUCGUUAGAGAGACAGAGAGGAAAACCACCAAGCUGGACCUGGACCCAACUCAGCUACCGCUCAAGAGGAACAAAGGAAGGAACAUACAAGCCACUCCUCGGAGGGCAUCGAGCGAGUGGCACGGAGAGCUGCAAGCAGGAAGGAGGCUUAGUCCUUGUACUGGCUGGUUUUGUGUGUCAACUUGAUACAAGCUGGAGUUAUCACAGAGAAAGGAGCCUCCCUUGAGGAAAUGCCUCCAUGAGAUCCAGCUGUAAGGCAUUUUCUCAACUAGUGAUCAAAGGAGGAGGACCCGGCCCACUGUGGGUGGUGCCAGUCCUGGGUUCUGUAAGAGAGCAAGCUGAGCAAGCCAGGGGAAGCAAGUCAGUAAGUAACAUCCCUCCAUGGCCUCUGCAUCAGCUCCUGCUUCCUGACCUGCUUGAGUUCCAGUCCUGACUUCCUUUGGUGAUGAACAGCAAUGUGGAAGAGUAAGCUGAAUAAACCCUUUCCUCCCCAA